This 3580-nucleotide long non-coding RNA is filed under the name Nicotiana benthamiana. Its description in RNAcentral is "long non-coding RNA (NBEN_LNC037398)". The record is from RNAcentral. Lineage: Eukaryota; Viridiplantae; Streptophyta; Magnoliopsida; Solanales; Solanaceae.
CAAAAAACCUAACUGGUCUACCAGAGAUUCUGUAUCCUCUACGAGACUUCCUUUACACCAAAAAUGAAAUAGAAGAAUACAGUCCAUCUUAACAUCCUGAAUGGAUUUGUAUCUGUCUUCAACAACUCUUGAGUUUCUCUCCUUCCAUACUGUCCGCCAUAUGCAUGCAGGUAUCAGUCUCCACCAUGUCUUUUGACUCACUGAGUCUCCAGGGUUGUUCCAAGAUUUUAGUAACUCAACAGUAGUAGCUGGCAUAGACCAUUUUAGCCCAACAAUGUUAAGGAACAAUUGCCACAGUUGACUAGUAAUAGGGCAGUGAAGGAAUAAGUGGCUGUUUGUUUCCAAUUCUCUGCCACAUAAAAGACAUCUAGAGCAAAGUUGGAAUCCCCUCCUUUUCAAGUUCUCUUGAGUUGAGCAUGCUUCUCUUGCUACCAGCCACCAGCCAUGUGAAACAAAUCACCUUAUAAGGAGCUUUAACUUUCCAGAUACUCUUCCAUGGCCAACCAUCUAUGUGACGACCAGUGUUUGAUAACAGAAGAUAAGCUGCUUUGACAAUAUAUAUCCCAUUCUUACCAUUGUUCCAGAUAAGAGAAUCUUCAUGUUCUUUAAGAUCUGCUUGAUUCUCAUGUCUUCCUUUGCAAUUUUGGUUUGCAGGGUGACAAUCAAAUUCCAACAGCAGCAAAAUCAGGUCCUUGGAGGAAGGUUAGUACCGAUAAACUGCUAGUGACUUCAUAAUUUGUAGGGGCUUUUUUUUUUUUUUAAUUGUUCAUAAUUCGCGAGGGCUUCUUUAAGUGAUGUUAACUCUGCCAUUCUGCGUUUGAAUAAUCAGCCAAUAGGUAUGAUUUGUUGCAUACAAGUUUCAUAAUUCAUAGGGCUUGUUUCAAUGAUGUCAUUCUGCAUUUGAAUAAUCAGCUCAUAGGAACGAUUUGUAUGAUCUUCAUUCUAACUUCGCUUCACAUAUGCAAAAUGGAGAACCUGAAUAUGGGAAACUAGUUUUCUGGAGUAGCCAUUUCCUUGAGUGCUAUCAAUCCAAAUGCAAUUUCUAGCUGACAAAUCAGAAUUCCUGUUAAAGUACCUACUUUUCAAUGUGGCAAUUUGACAGAAUUUGAAGUUAUAAAGAGCCAGAUACACAUAUCUGUCUAAUCAGCAUUUAAUAUGCUGGAAGAGGGUAUCGGUUUUCGUAGAUAAGUUCUCUAGUUGGGCAUAAUUAAGUAUAGGGAUGUGUUUUCUGUGUCCAAAUUGAAAAAUUCAUGUAAUUACUACAUUGUAAAGGAUAAAGGGUAAGAAACAGUUGAAAGGGAUUAUACUGCCACCUUUAUUGAAACUAGUUCGGUAAGAAAUUGGCGGAUAGAAGUGUUUCAGUACUGAGUAAGAGGAAAAUAAUUCAUUUUGCUAUAUAUCAUUAGCUAAUCUAGUUGGUUUUUAUGGUCGGUCAUAGUGAUUCAUGUGGCUGCAUCGAUAUAUCAACUUCUAUUGUCUUUUUCACCAUGCACUCAUAAUAUUCCUCUCGUCUUUAAAUCUGUUCUUGAUCCUUUUGUUUGUUGCUACAGAUGCUAUCCUCAAAGGAUGUCAACUUUAUGGGCUACACUUACAAAAACUUUGAGAUUGUGAAUGAUAAUGAUGUUGCUGGAAUGGGUAUUGAGCUUUUCCUUGCAUUAAGUUAUAAUUAAUCCCUUUGGUCUUAAUUGAACUUAUCUAACAUAGGAUAAGUAUGAUUUGAUUUCUGCUGUUAUCUGUGCUUUGCUUAUCAAACUCUGUUUUACAAGUAUUAAAUGGUUAUAUUUGUUUCCUUUGUAAUUGUGAUUUUGUCUUGAAAUGCUUUUUCCUUUUUCAGCUGAACUGAAGAAGAAGAGCAACAAAGCUAAGAGGCCAACUGUGAAGGCACUUUUCAGUAGGAUUUCUGCCCCUCUUUCUAUUCUGGUUGUCAUCAUUAUUACUGUAGACUGGAUUAUUACUUCUCCAGGCAUUGCUCCUAGAAAUAGAGAGGCAAUACCCAAGGAAUGGAAAUAAUAGUUGCAUGCCUUCGCUAGAUGUAGUAGUUAGGCAUGUUCAGAAAACGUUAUCCCAGUAAGUCUAUUGCAACUUAUAUUGGGAUUGAGCGUCACCAUCCUUUAUAUUGAGAAACAUCGAUAAAGUUUCUGAGAGUUGAAGGUAAAUAGAGUUUUUCCGUAUGUUUUGUAACGUGGUAAAUUUGUCAGAAUGAAACAGUUGAUAUUAUAUCAGAAAAAAAGGAAAAGUGAAUUGAUAUCCACCACCAGGCCUUUGGUUCAGCCAUAAGGACACAUUGGAGUGUGGGUUAGGUCCUCAUCAGUGGUUCGAAUCCUGCCAAUGGACAAAAGUCCAGUAUUUAAGUUGGGAGGAGGGUAGAGGGAGGCCAAUACUCUCCGGAGUUUAGAACCUGCUGAUACCUCACAAAGUGGGGCUCAGAGAUGAUUUCUCCAAUAUAAAAAGAACAUUAAGAAAAAGAAUUGAUCAUUAGUUGACUCUCCAGUUGCGGUUUACAGCAUUUUGUCCAUCUGUUUCAUGUGGUCUUUCUUGUUAUUCUUUUCUUGUGGAUCAUGAAGUUUCUAAGGGUUGGAGAGCUAUCAACAAAUCUUUCUCUGAAGUUCUCCUGUGGUGGUAAUUUCUUCAAAAGAAAUGGUGGAUAUUACUGUUAGCUUACAAGAAAAUGAGUUGAUUAUUUAUUGACUUCCCAUUUGUGAUACCUUUACAGCAUCUUGUCCCUCUGUUUCAUGUGUUCUUUCUUGUUAUUCUUCUGUUUAUUUUUCUCUCAUGGAUCAUGAGAUGGUAUAAACAUGCUAAAGUAUGGAUGUUCAUAUGUUUGUAGGUGAGGAUUCGGAUGCAUCCAACUCUCAACCUGCUCAUGGGAGUUUCCUUAAAAUGUUACCUCCACACUUGGAAUCAUCAAAGCAGGCUGAACUAUCGGGAGUUUCCUUAAAAUGUUACCUCCACAUUUGGAAUCAUCAAAGCAGGCUGAACUAUAGCGUCCAAACUAAUCUGUUAAUAACUGUAUGACCAUAGUCAACAAAGCAAACAUGCAACAUUCCCUCUGUUAAAGUGAAGCUGUUGUGUUUUAACAUAGGUAUAUUUCAAGUGUAAGUAUCCACGACGAAGGCAGUUUUGCAAAUCUGUGACUGCCUUGGUUCAUAGUUGCGCUUGUUUUUGUGUAAAUUAUUUCUUGGAAGUACAUAUCAUUCUUUUUGUUGCUAGUUUGUAAUUUUCUCCCCUCUAAGCUGCAGAAAAUUACACCCUUGUUCUUGUAAUUUCUUCGACUAUGGGUUUAUUUAUUUCAAUAGCCCUUCCCUCUAAGCUGCAGAAAAUUGCACCCUUGUUGUAAUCUCUUCCACUAUGGGUUUAUUUAUUUCAAUAGCCUAUCUUAAAAGGUGGAAGUUUUAGUUUGUGUUCUUCCUAAAAGUGUACACUCUCCUUGUUUAUGCUUUCUUGGAUUGAAACCACUUUUUCAUUGUUGUGUUACUAUUAACUCGAAAAGAAGACCUAAGAUGCUUUAUUGUUCUAUAGUUUUGCAUGAAGUGGCUAUAUUGAUGUCCCUCACCCCCUUGGCUCUGUAAUUUAUUCUCCC